RNAcentral lists this ribosomal RNA (483 nucleotides) under uncultured bacterium. RNAcentral describes it as "partial 16S ribosomal RNA". It matches the Rfam family "Bacterial small subunit ribosomal RNA", at positions 28 to 523 of the family's 1533-position model. The record is from RNAcentral.
GACGAACGCUGGCGGCGUGCUUAACACAUGCAAGUCGAACGAUGAGCCCGGAGCUUGCUCCGGUGGAUUAGUGGCGAACGGGUGAGUAACACGUGAGUAACCUGCCCUUGACUCUGGGAUAACUGCGGGAAACUGUAGCUAAUACCGGAUACGACCCUCGGCGGCAUCGCAGGGGGUGGAAAGAAUUUCGGUCAAGGAUGGACUCGCGGCCUAUCAGCUAGUUGGUGAGGUAACGGCUCACCAAGGCGACGACGGGUAGCCGGCCUGAGAGGGUGACCGACCACACUGGGACUGAGACACGGCCCAGACUCCUACGGGAGGCAGCAGUGGGGAAUAUUGCACAAUGGGCGCAAGCCUGAUGCAGCAACGCCGCGUGAGGGAUGACAGCCUUCGGGUUGUAAACCUCUUUUAGUAGGGAAGAAGCGAAAGUGACGGUACCUGCAGAAAAAGCACCGGCUAACUACGUGCCAGCCGCCGCCGUAA